Molecule: ribosomal RNA, 483 nt
Filed under: uncultured bacterium
Lineage: Bacteria
Description: bacterial SSU rRNA
Rfam family: Bacterial small subunit ribosomal RNA
Source: RNAcentral
AGUCGAGCGAACAGACGAGGAGCUUGCUCCUCUGACGUUAGCGGCGGACGACGUGAGUAACACGUGGAUAACCUACCUAUAAGACUGGGAUAACUUCGGGAAACCGAAGCUAAUACCGGAUAAUAUAUUGAACCGCAUGGUUCAAUAGUGAAAGACGGUUUUGCUGUCACUUAUAGAUGGAUCCGCGCCGCAUUAGCUAGUUGGUAAGGUAACGGCUUACCAAGGCAACGAUGCGUAGCCGACCUGAGAGGGUGAUCGGCCACACUGGAACUGAGACACGGUCCAGACUCCUACGGGAGGCAGCAGUAGGGAAUCUUCCGCAAUGGGCGAAAGCCUGACGGAGCAACGCCGCGUGAGUGAUGAAGGUCUUCGGAUCGUAAAACUCUGUUAUUAGGGAAGAACAAAUGUGUAAGUAACUAUGCACGUCUUGACGGUACCUAAUCAGAAAGCCACGGCUAACUACGUGCCAGCAGCCGCGGUAAU